Molecule: ribosomal RNA, 496 nt
Filed under: uncultured bacterium
Lineage: Bacteria
Description: partial 16S ribosomal RNA
Rfam family: Bacterial small subunit ribosomal RNA
Source: RNAcentral
GAUGAACGCUGGCGGCGUGCCUAAUACAUGCAAGUCGAGCGAACAGACGAGGAGCUUGCUCCUCUGACGUUAGCGGCGGACGGGUGAGUAACACGUGGAUAACCUACCUAUAAGACUGGGAUAACUUCGGGAAACCGGAGCUAAUACCGGAUAAUAUAUUGAACCGCAUGGUUCAAUAGUGAAAGACGGUUUUGCUGUCACUUAUAGAUGGAUCCGCGCCGCAUUAGCUAGUUGGUAAGGUAACGGCUUACCAAGGCAACGAUGCGUAGCCGACCUGAGAGGGUGACGGGCCAAACUGGAACUGAAACACGGCCCAGACUCCUAGGGGAGGAAGCAGGAGGGAAUUUUCCGAAAGGGGGGAAAGCCUGCCGGAGCAACGCCGCGGGAGUAAUGAAGGUCUUCGGAUCGUAAAACGCUGUUAUUAGGGAAAAAAAAAUGUGUAAGUAACUAUGCACGUCUUGACGGUACCAAAAAAAAAAGCCACGGCUAACUACGU